This 22169-nucleotide long non-coding RNA is filed under the name Triticum aestivum (bread wheat). Its description in RNAcentral is "long non-coding RNA (TAES_LNC019907)". Lineage: Eukaryota; Viridiplantae; Streptophyta; Magnoliopsida; Poales; Poaceae. The record is from RNAcentral.
AAUUCACUCAGAACUAACAAGAAUGAUAACAUGCUCCGACUGGAGCGGUUUAGGAACUGCUGGAAGGCUCUAGGGGAAUAAAGAUGGAAUGACUUCUAAUUUUUAGGUCCGUAUGAUUUGAAAUACUUGCACACAAACCACGCGAAAGCGUUCCUGGAAAUCUCAGCCCAAAAAAGGACGUUUAGUAAUUCUAAAAGGGACUACAGGAUGAAAAACAAUAGUUUUGGCAGUUAAAGUUUGAGAUUCGACAGUGCCGUAGAUCCGUUUGGUCAUCAGGUAUUACGAGCCACACCCAUGUCUAGCUAGAAUAGUGUGCUAGGCUCAGGCUAGAGAAGAAACGGGGAACAAACUGAUGAAAGAAUGAUCAAACCGAGGGAAUUCACUCAGAACUAACAAUAAUGAUAACGUGCUCCGACUGGUGCGGUUUAGGAACUGCUGGAAGGCUCUAGGGGAAUAAAGAUGGAAUGACUUCUAAUUUUUAGGUCCGUAUGAUUUGAAAUACUUGCACACAAACCGCGCGAAAGCGUUCCUGGAAAUCUCAGCCCAAAAAAGGACGUUUAGUAAUUUUAAAAGGGACUAUAGGAUGAAAAACAAUAGUUUUGGCAAUUAAAGUUUGAGAUUCGACGGUGUCGUAGAUCCGUUUGGUCAUCAGGUGUUACGAGCCACACCCAUGUCUAGCUAGAAUAGUAUGUCAGGCUCAGGUUAGAGUAGAAACGGGGAACAAACUGAUGAAAGAAUGAUCAUACCAAGGGAAUUCACUCAGAACUAUCAAGAAUGAUAACGUGCUCCGACUGGAGUGAUUUAGGAACUGCUGGAAGGCUCUAGGGGAAUAAAGAUGGAAUGACUUCUAAUUUUUACGUCCGUAUGAUUUGAAAUACUUGCACACAAAUCACGCAAAAGCGUUCCUGGAAAUCUCAGCCUAAAAAAGGACGUUUAGUAAUUCUAAAAGGGACUACAGGAUGAAAAACAAUAGUUUGGGCAGUUAAAAUUUGAGAUUCGACGGUGCCGUAGAUCCGUUUGGUCAUCAGGUGUUACGAGCGACACCCUUGUCUAGCUAGAAUAGUGUGUUAGGCUCAGACUAGAGAAGAAACGGGGAACAAAGUGAUGAAAGAAUGAUCAUACCGAGGGAAUUCACUCAGAACUAACAAGAAUGAUAACGUGCUCCGACUGGAGCGGUUUAGUAACUGCUGGAAGGCUCUAGGGGAAUGAAGAUGGAAUGACUUCUAAUUUUUAGGUCCGUAUGAUUUGAAAUACAUGCACACAAACCCUGAGAAAGCGUUCCUGGAAAUCUCGGUCGAAAAAAGGAUGUUUAAUAAUUCUAAAAGGGACUACCGGAUGAAAAACAAUAGUUUUGGCAGUUAAAGUUUGUGAUUCGAUGGUGCCGUAGAUCUGUUUGGUCAUCAGGUGUUACGAGCCACACCCAUGUCUAUCUAGAAUAGUGUGUUAGGCUCAGGCUAGAGCAGAAACGGGGAACAGACUUAUGAAAGAAUGAUCAUACCGAGGGAAUUCACUCAGAACUAACAAGAAUGAUAACGUGCUCCGACUGGCGCGGUUUAGGAACUGCUGGAAGGCUCUAGGGGAAUAAAGAUGGAAAGACUUCUAAUUUUUAGGUCCGUAUGAUUUGAAAUACUUGCACACAAACCGCACGAAAGCGUUCCUGGAAAUCUCAGCCUAAAAAGGAUGUUUAGUAAUUCUAAAAGGGACUACAAGAUGAAAAAUAAUAGUUUGGGCAGUUAAAAUUUGAGAUUCGACGAUGCCGUAGAUCCGUUUGGUCAUCAGGUGUUAUGAGCCACACCCAUGUCUAGCUAGAAUAGUGUGUUAGGCUCAGGCUAGAGAAGAAACGGGGAACAAACUGAUGAAAGAAUGAUCAUACCGAGGGAAUUCACUCAGAACUAACAAGAAUGAUAACGUGCUCCGACUGGAGCAGUUUAGAAACUGCUGGAAGGCUCUAAUGGAAUAAAGAUGGAAUGCCUUCAAAUUUCUAGGUCCGUAUGAUUUGAAAUACUUGCACACAAACCGCUCGAAAGCGUUCCUGGAAAUCUCAGCCCAAAAAAGGACGUUUAGUAAUUCUAAAAGGGACUACAGGAUGAAAAACAAUAGUUUUGGCAGUUAAAGUUUGAGAUUCGAUGGUGCCGUAGAUCCGUUUGGUCAUCAGGUGUAACGAGCCACACACAUGUCUAGCUAGAGUAGUGUGCUAGGCUCAGACUAGAGAAGAAACGGGGAACAAAGUGAUGAAAGAAUGAUCAUACCGAGGGAAUUCACUCAGAACUUACAAGAAUGAUAACGUGCUCCGACUGGAGCGCUUUAGUAACUGCUGGAAGGCUCUAGGCGAAUAAAGAUGGAAUGACUUCUAAUUUUUAGGUCCGUAUGAUUUGAAAUACUUGCACACAAACCACGCAAAACCGUUCCUAGAAAUCUCGGUCGAAAAAAGGACGUUUAGUAAUUCUAAAAGGGACUACAGGAUGAAAAACAAUAGUUUUGGCAGUUAAAGUUUGAGAUUCGAUGGUGCCGUAGAUCCGUUUGGUCAUCAGGUGUUACGAGCCACACCCAUGUCUAGCUAGAGUAGUGUGCUAGGUUCAGACUAGAGAAGAAACGGGGAACAAAGUGAUUAAAGAAUGAUCAUACCGAGGGAAUUCACUCAGAACUAACAAGAAUGAUAACGUGCUCCGACUGGAGCGGUUUAGGAACUGCUGGAAGGCUCUAGGGGAAUAAAGAUGGAAUGACUUCUAAUUUUUACGUCCGUAUGAUUUGAAAUACAUGCACACAAACCACGCAAAAGCGUUCCUGGAAAUCUCAGCCUAAAAAAGGACGUUUAGUAAUUCUAAAAGGGACUACAGGAUGAAAAAUAAUAGUUUGGGCAGUUAAAAUUUGAGAUUCGACGCUGCCGUAGAUCCGUUUGGUCAUCAGGUCUUACGAGCCACACCCAUGUCUAGCUAGAAUAGUGUGUUAGGCUCAGGCUAGAGAAGAAACGGGGAACAAACUGAUGAAAGAAUGAUCAUACCGAGGGAAUUCACUCAGAACUAACAAGAAUGAUAACGUGCUCCGACUGGAGCAGUUUAGAAACUCCUGGAAGGCUCUAGGGGAAUAAAGAUGGAAUGACUUCAAAGUUUUAGGUCCGUAUGAUUUGAAAUACUUGCACACAAACCGCGUGAAAGCGUUCCUGGAAAUCUCAACCCAAAAAAGGGCGUUUAGUAAUUCUAAAAGGGACUACAGGAUGUAAAACAAUAGUUUUGGCAGUUAAAGUUUGAGAUUCGAUGGUGCCGUAGAUCCGUUUGGUCAUCAGGUGUAACGAGCCACACCCAUGUCUAGCUAGAGUAGUGUGCUAGGCUCAGACUAGAGAAGAAACGGGGAACAAAGUGAUGAAAGAAUGAUCAUACCGAGGGAAUUCACUCAUAACUAACAAGAAUGAUAACGUGCUCUGACUUGAGCGGUUUAGGAACUGCUGGAAGGCUAUAGGGGAAUAAAGAUGGAAUGACUUCAAAUUUUUAGGUCCGUAUGAUCUGAAAUACUUGCACACAAACCGCGAGAAAGCGUUCCUGGAAAUCUCAACCCAAAAAAGGACGUUUAGUAAUUCUAAAAGGGACUACAGGAUGAAAAACAAUAGUUCUGGCAGUUAUUGUUUGAGAUUCGAUAAUCUCGUAGAUCCGUUUGGUCAUCAGGUGUAACGAGCCACACCCAUGUCUAGCUAGAGUAGUGUGCUAGGCUCAGACUAGAGAAGAAACGGGGAACAAACUGAUGAAAGAAUGAUCAUACCGAGGGAAUUCACUUAGAACUAACAAGAAUGAUAACGUGCUCCGACUGGAGCGGUUUAGGAACUGCUGGAAGGCUCUAGGGGAAUAAAGAAGGAACGACUUCUAAUUUUUAGGUCCGUAUGAUUUGAAAUAUGUGCACACAAACCACGAGAAAGCGUUCCUAGAAAUCUCGGCCCAAAAGAGGACGUUUAGUAUUCUAAAAGGGACUACAGAAUGAAAAACAAUAGUUUUGGCAGUUAAAGUUUGAGAUUUGACGGUGCCGUAGAUCUGUUUGGUCAUCAGGGGUUACGAGCCACACCCAUGUCUAGCUAGAAUAGUGUGUUAGGCUCAGGCUAGAAAAGAAACGGGGAACAAAGUGAUGAAAGAAUGAUCAUACCGAGGGAAUUCACUCAGAACUAACAAGAAUGAUAACAUGCUCCGACUGGAGCGGUUUAGGAACUGCUGGAAGGCUCUAGGGGAAUAAAGAUGGAAUGACUUCUAAUUUUUAGGUCCGUAUGAUUUGAAAUACUUGCACACAAACCGCGCGAAAGCGUUCCUGGAAAUCUCAGCCCAAAAAAGGACGUUUAGUAAUUCUAAAAGGGACUACAGGAUGAAAAACAAUAGUUUUGGCAGUUAAAGUAUGAGAUUCAACGGUGCCGUAGAUCCGUUUGGUCAUUAGGUGUUACGAGCCACACCCAUGUCUAGCUAGAAUAGUGUGCUAGGCUCAGGCUAGAGAAGAAACGGGGAACAAACUGAUGAAAGAAUGAUCAAACCGAGGGAAUUCACUCAGAACUAACAAUAAUGAUAACGUGCUCCGACUGGAGCGGUUUAGGAACUGCUGGAAGUCUCUAGGGGAAUAAAGAUGGAAUGACUUCUAAUUUUUACGUUCGUAUGAUUUGAAAAACUUGCCCAUAAACCGCGCGAAAGUGUUCCUGGAAAUCUCAGCCCAAAAAAGGACGUUUAGUAAUUUUAAAAGGGACUACACGAUGAAAAACAAUAGUUUUGGCAGGUAAAGUUUGAGAUUCGACAGUGCCGUAGAUCCGUUUGGUCAUCAGGUGUUACGAGCCACACCCAUGUCUAGCUAGAAUAGUAUGUUACGCUCAGGUUAGAGAAGAAACGGGGAACAAACUGAUGAAAGAUGAUCAUACCAAGGGAAUUCACUCAGAACUAACAAGAAUGAUAACGUGCUCCGACUGGAGCGGUUUAGGAACUGCUGGAAGGCUCUAGGGGAAUAAAGAUGGAAUGACUUCUAAUUUUUACGUCUGUAUGAUUUGAAAUACUUGCACACAAACAACGCAAAAGCAUUCCUGGAAAUCUCAUCCUAAAAAAGGACGUUUAGUAAUUCUAAAAGGGACUACAGGAUGAAAAAUAAUAGUUUGGGAAGUUAAAAUUUGAGAUUCGAUAGUGCCGUAGAUCCGUUUGGUCAUCAGGUGUUAGGAGCCACACCCAUGUCUAGCUAGAAUAGUGUGUUAGGCUCAGGCUAGAGAAGAAACAGGGAACAAACUGAUGAAAGAAUGAUCAUACCGAGGGAAUUCACUCAGAACUAGCAAGAAUGAUAACGUGCUCCGACUGGAGCAGUUUUGAAACUGCUGGAAGGCUCUAGGGGAAUAAUGAUGGAAUGACUUCUAAGUUUUUGGUCCGUAUGAUUUGAAAUACGUGCACACAAACCCAGAGAAAGUGUUCUUGGAAAUCUCGGCCGAAAAAAGGAUGUUUAAUAAUUCUAAAAGGGACUACAGGAUGAAAAACAAUAGUUUUGGCAGUUAAAGUUUGUGAUUCGAUGGUGCUGUAGAUCUGUUUGGUCAUCAGGUGUUAUGAGCCACACCCAUGUCUAGCUAGAACAGUGUGUUAGGCUCAGGCUAGAGCAGAAACGGGGAACAAACUUAUGAAAGAAUGAUCAUACCGAGGGAAUUCACUCAGAACUAACAAGAAUGAUAACGUGCUCCGACUGGAGAGGUUUAGGAACUGCUGGAAGGCUCUAGGGGAAUAAAGAUGGAAUGACUUCAAAUUUUUAGGUCUGUAUGAUCUGAAAUACUUGCACACAAACCGCGAGAAAGCGUUCCUGGAAAUCUCAGCCCAAAAAAGGACGUUUAGUGAUUCUAAAAGGGACUACGGGAUAAAAAACAAUAGUUUUGGCAGUUAAAGUUUGAGAUUCGAUAAUGCCGUAGAUCCGUUUGGUCAUCAGGUGUAACGAGCCACACCCAUGUCUAGCUAGAGUAGUGUGCUAGGCUCAUACUAGAGAAGAAAUGGGGAACAAACUGAUGAAAGAAUGAUCAUACCGAGGGAGUUCACUCAAAACUAACAUGAAUGAUAACGUGCUCCGACUGGAGCGGUUUAGGAACUGCUGGAAGGCUCUAGGGGAAUAAAGAUGGAAUGACUUCUAAUUUUUAGGUCCGUAUGAUUUGAAAUACAUGCACACAAACCCCAAGAAAGCGUUCCUGGAAAUCUCGCCCCGAAAAACGACGUUUAGUAAUUCUAAAAGGGACUAUAGGAUGAAAAACAAUAGUUUUGGCAGUUAAAGUUUGAGAUUUGACGGUGCCGUAGAUCUGUUUGGUCAUCAGGUGUUACGAGCCACACCCAUUUCUAGCUAGAAUAGUGUGUUAGGCUCAGGCUAGAAAAGAAACGGGGAACAAAGUGAUGAAAGAAUGAUCAUACCGAGGGAAUUCACUCAGAACUAACAAGAAUGAUAACAUGGUCCGACUGGAGCGGUUUAGGAACUGCUGGAAGGCUCUAGGGGAAUAAAGAUGGAAUGACUUCUAACUUUUAGGUCCGUAUGAUUUGAAUUACUUGCACACAAACCGCGCGAAAGCGUUCCUGGAAAUCUCAGCCCAAAAAAGGACGUUUAGUAAUUCUAAAAGGGACUACAGGAUGAAAAACAAUAGUUUUGGCAGUUAAAGUUUGAGAUUCGACGGUGCCGUAGAUCCGUUUGGUCAGCAGGUGUUACGAGCCACACCCAUGUCUAGCUAGAGUAGUGUGCUAGGUUCAGACUAGAGAAGAAAUGUUGGGGAACGUAGCAGAAAUUCAAAAUUUUCCUACGUGUCACCAAGAUCUAUCUAUGGAGAGACUAGCAACGAGGGAAGGAGAGUGCAUCUACAUACCCUUGUAGAUCGCUAAGCGGAAGCGUUCAAGUGAACGGGGUUGAUGGAGUCGUACUCGUCGUGAUUCAGCUCACCGAUGAUCCUAGUGCCGAACGGACGGCACCUCCGCGUUCAACACACGUACAGCUCGACGAUGUCUCCCACGCCUUGAUCCAGCAAGGAGAGAGGGAGAGGUUGAGGAAGACUCCAUCCAGCAGAAGCACAACGGCGUGGUGGUGAUGGAGGAGCAUGGCAAUCCUGCAGGGCUUCGCCAAGCACCUAUGGGAGAGGAGGAGGUGUCACGGGAGGGAGGGAGGCGCCAAGGGCUCAGGUAUAGAUGCCCUCCCUCCCCUCCACUAUAUAUAGGGGCAAGGGAGAGGGGGGAGGCGCAGCCUUGCCCCUUCCUCCAAGGAAGGGGUGCGGCUAAGAGGGGGGGAGGAGUCCAUCCUCCCCAAGGCACCUCGGAGGUGCCUUCCCCCUUUAGGACUCUCCCCUUUUUCCUAUAUCUUGGCGCAUGGGCCUCUAGGGGCUGGUUCCCUUGGCCCAUGUAGGCCCAGGCGCACCCCCUACAGCCCAUGUGGCCCCCCGGGGCAGGUGGCCCCACCUGGUGGGCCCCCGGGACCCUUCCGGUGGUCCCGGUACAAUACCGAUGACCCCGAAACUUGUCCCGAUGGCCGAAACAGGACUUCCUAUAUAUAAAUCUUUACCUCCGGACAAUUCCGGAACUCCUCGUGACGUCCGGGAUCUCAUCCGGGACUCCGAACAACAUUCGGUAACCACAUACAAACUUCCUUUAUAACCCUAGCGUCAUCGAACCUUAAGUGUGUAGACCCUACGGGUUCGGGAGACAUGUAGUCAUGACCGAGAUGUUCUCCGGUCAAUAACCAACAGCGGGAUCUGGAUACCCAUGUUGGCUCCCACAUGUUCCACGAUGAUCUCAUCGGAUGAACCACGAUGUCAAGGACUCAAUCAAUCCCGUAUACAAUUCCCUUUGUCUAGCGGUAUGGUACUUGCCCGAGAUUCGAUCGUCGGUAUACCGAUACCUUGUUCAAUCUCGUUACCGGCAAGUCUCUUUACUCAUUUCGUAACACAUCAUCCCGUGAUCAACCCCUUGGUCACAUUGUGCACAUUAUGAUGAUGUCCUACCGAGUGGGCCCAGAGAUACCUCUCCGUUUACACGGAGUGACAAAAUCCCAAUCUCGAUUCGUGCCAACCCAACAGACACUUUCAGAGAUACCCGUAGUGUACCUUUACAGCCACCCAGUUACGUUGUGACGUUUGGCACACCCAAAGCACUCCUACAGUAUCCGGGAGUUGCACAAUCUCAUGGUCUAAGGAAAUGAUACUUGACAUUAGAAAAGCUUUAGCAUACGAACUACAUGAUCUUGUGCUAGGCUUAGGAUUGGGUCUUGUCCAUCACAUCAUUCUCCUAAUGAUGUGAUCCCGUUAUCAACGACAUCCAAUGUCCAUGGUCAGGAAACCGUAACCAUCUAUUGAUUAACGAGCUAGUCAACUAGAGGCUUACUAGGGACAUGGUGUUGUCUAUGUAUCCACACAUGUAUCUAAGUUUCCUAUCAAUACAAUUCUAGCAUGGAUAAUAAACGAUUAUCAUGAACAAGGAAAUAUAAUAAUAAUCAAUUUAUUAUUGCCUCUAGGGCAUAUUUCCAACAGUCUCCCACUUGCACUAGAGUCAAUAAUCUAGUUCACAUCGAUAUGUGAUUAACACUCAAGGUCACAUUCCCAUGUGACUAACACCCAAGAGUUUACUAGAGUCAAUAAUCUAGUUCACAUUUACCAUGUGAUUAACACUUGAUGAGUUCUGGGUUUGAUCAUGUUAUGCUUGUGAGAGAGGUUAUAGUCAACGGGUCUGAACCUUUCAGAUCCGUGUGUGCUUUACAAAUCUCUAUGUCAUCUCCUAGAUGCAGCUACCACGUUCUAUUUGGAGCUAUUCCAAAUAACUGUUCUACUUGGAGCUAUUCUAAAUUGUUGCUCCAUUAUACGUAUCCGGUAUCUCUACUCAGAGCUAUCCGGAUAGGUGUUAAGCUUGCAUCGACGUAACCCUUUACGACGAACUCUUUUACCACCUCCAUAAUUGAGAAAAUUCCUUAGUCCACUAGUUACUAAGGAUAACUUUGACCGCUGUCCUGUGAUCCAUUCUUGGAUCACUCUUGUACCCCUUGACUGACUCAUGGUAAAGCACACUUCAGGUGCGGUACACAGCAUAGCAUACUGUAGAGCCUAUGUCUUAAGCAUAGGGGACGACCUUCGUUCCUUUCUCUCUAUUCUGCCAUGGUCGAGCUUUAAGUCUUAACUUCAUACCUUACAACUCAGGCAAGAACUCCUUCUUUGACUGAUCCAUCUUGAACACCUUCAAGAUCACGUCAAGGCAUGUGCUCACGUCAAGAUCACGUCGGUAUACCGAUACCUUGUUCAAUCUCGUUACCGGCAAGUCUCUUUACUCGUUCCGUAACACAUCAUCCCGUGAUCAACCCCUUGGUCACAUUGUGCACAUUAUGAUGAUGUCCUACCGAGUGGGCCCAGAGAUACCUCUCCGUUUACACGGAGUGACAAAAUCCCAAUCUCGAUUCGUGCCAACCCAACAGACACUUUCAGAGAUACCCGUAGUGUACCUUUAUAGCCACCCAGUUACGUUGUGACGUUUGGCACACCCAAAGCACUCCUACGGUAUCCGGGAGUUGCACAAUCUCAUGGUCUAAGGAAAUGAUACUUGACAUUAGAAAAGCUUUAGCAUACGAACUACAUGAUCUUGUGCUAGGCUUAGGAUUGGGUCUUGUCCAUCACAUCAUUCUCCUAAUGAUGUGAUCCCGUUAUCAACGACAUCCAAUGUCCAUGGUCAGGAAACCGUAACCAUCUAUUGAUUAACGAGCCAGUCAACUAGAGGCUUACUAGGGACAUGGUGUUGUCUAUGUAUCCACACAUGUAUCUGAGUUUCCUAUCAAUACAAUUCUAGCAUGGAUAAUAAACGAUUAUCAUGAACAAGGAAAUAUAAUAAUAAUCAAUUUAUUAUUGCCUCUAGGGCAUAUUUCCAACAGUCUCCCACUUGCACUAGAGUCAAUAAUCUAGUUCACAUCACCAUGUGAUUAACACUGACAGGUCACAUCACCAUGUGACCAACAUCCAAAGAGUCUUGGGUUUGAUCAUGUUGCUUGUGAGAGAGGUUAUAGUCAACGGGUCUGAACCUUUCAGAUCCGUGUGUGCUUUACAAAUCUCUAUGUCAUCUCCUAGAUGCAGCUACCACGUUCUAUUUGGAGCUAUUCCAAAUAACUGUUCUACUUGGAGCUAUUCUAAAUUGUUGCUCCAUUAUACGUAUCCGGUAUCUCUACUCAGAGCUAUCCGGAUAGGUGUUAAGCUUGCAUCGACGUAACCCUUUACGACGAACUCUUUUACCACCUCCAUAAUUGAGAAAAUUCCUUAGUCCACUAGUUACUAAGGAUAACUUUGACCGCUGUCCUGCGAUCCAUUCUUGGAUCACCCUUGUACCCCUUGACUGACUCAUGGUAAAGCACACUUCAGGUGCGGUACACAGCAUAGCAUACUGUAGAGCCUAUGUCUUAAGCAUAGGGGAUGACCUUCGUUCCUUUCUCUCUAUUCUGCCAUGGUCGAGCUUUAAGUCUUAACUUCAUACCUUACAACUCAGGCAAGAACUCCUUCUUUGACUGGUCCAUCUUGAACACCUUCAAGAUCAUGUCAAGGUAUGUGCUCAUUUGAAAGUACUAUUAAGCGUUUUGAUCUAUCCUUAUAGAUCUUGAUGCUCAAUGUUCAAGUAGCUUAAUCCAGGUUUUCCAUUGAAAACACUUUCCAAAUAACCCUAUAUGCUUUCCAGAAAUUCUACGUCAUUUCUGAUCAUUAAUAUGUCAACAACAUAUAAUCAUCAGAAAUUCUAUAGUGCUCCCACUCACUUCUUUGGAAAUACAAGUUUCUCAUAAACUUUGUAUACACCCAAAAUCUUUGAUCAUCAUCAAAGCAUACAUUCCAACUCCGAGAUGCUCACUCCAGUCCUCAGAAGGAUUGCUGGAGCUUUGCAUACUUAUUAGCAUAUUUCAGGAUAGACAAAACCUUCCAGUUGUAUCACAUACAACCUUUCCUCAAGAAUCGUCGACGAAACAAUGUUUUGACAUCCUAUCUGCAAGAUUUCAUAAAUAAUGCAGUAAUUGUUAAUAUAAUUCCAACAGACUCUUAGCAUCGCUACGAGUGAGAAAGUCUCAUUGUAGUCAACUCCUUGAACUUGUCAAAAAACAUCUUAACGACAAGUCGAGCUUUCUCAAUGGUGACACUUACCAUCAUUGUCUGUCUUCCUUUCAAAAUCCAUAUGUACCUAACAGCCUUACGACCAUCAAGUAGUUCUUCCAAAGUCUACACUUUGUUUUCAUACAUGGAUCCUCUCUCGGGUUUUAUGGCCAUGAGCCAUUUAUCGGAAUCCGGGCCCACCAUUGCUUCUCCAUAGCUCGUAGGUUCAUUGUUGUCUAGCAACAUGACUUCCAAGACAGGAUUACUGUACCACUCUGAAGUAGUACGUAUCCUUGUCACCCUACGAGGUUUGGGAGUGACUUGAUCUGAAGUUUCAUGAUCACUAUCAUAAGCUUCUACUUCAAUUGGUGUAGGUGCCACAGGAACAACUUCCUGUGCCCUGCUACACACUGGUUGAAGUGAUGGUUCAAUAACCUCAUCAAGUCUCCACCAUCCUCCCACUCAAUUCUUUCGAGAGAAACCUUUCCUCGAGAAAGGACCCAAUUCUAGAAACAAUUCAUAUUGCUUUCGGAUCUGAAUUAGGAAGUAUACCCAACUGUUUUGGGUGUCCUAUGAAGAUGUACUUUAUCCGCUUUGGUUUCGAGCUUAAUCCUGAAACUUUUUCACAUAAGUGUCGCAGCCCCAAACCUUUAAGAAACGACAACUUAGGUUUCUCUAAACCAUAAUUCAUACGGUGUCAUCUCAUCGGAAUUACGUGGUGCCCUAUUUAAAGUGAAUGUGGUUGUCUUUAAUGCCUAACCCAUAAACUAUCGUGGCAGUUCGAUAAGAGACAUCAUGGUAUGCAUCAUAUCCAAUAGGGUGCAACUAUGAUGUUCGGACACACCAUCACACUAUGGUGUUCCAGGCGGUAUUAAUUGUGAAACAAUUUCCACAAUGUCUUAAUUGUGUGCCAAAACUCGUAACUCAGAUACUCAUCUCUAUGAUCAUAUCAUAGACAUUUUAUCCUCUUGUCACAAUGAUCUUCUACUUCACUCUGAAAUUACUUGAACCAUUCAACAAUUCAGACUUGUGUUUCAUCAAGUAAAUAUUCUCAACAUCUACUCGAAUCAUCUGUGAAGUAAGAACAUAACGAUAUUCACUGCAUGCCUCAGCACUCAUUGGACUGCACACAUCAAAAUGUGUUACUUCCAACAAGUUGCUAUCUUGUUCCAUCUUACUGAAAACGAGGCUUUUCAGUCAUCUUGCCCAUGUGGUAUGAUUUGCAUGUCCCAAGUGAUUCAAAAAUCAAGUGAGUCAAAACGGUCCAUUUGCAUGGAGUUUCUUCAUGCAUAUACACCAAUAGACAUGGUUCGCAUGUCUCAAACUUUUCAAAAACGAGUGAGCCCAAAGAUCCAUCAAUAUGGAGCUUCUUCAUGCGUUUUAUACCGAUAUGACUUACGUGGUAGUGCCACAAGUAGGUGGUACUAUCAUUACUAUCUUUUGGCAUGAACAUGUGUAUCACUACGAUCGAGAUUUAAUAAACCAUUCAUUUUAGGUGUAAGACCAUUGAAGGUAUUAUUCAAAUAAACAGAGUAACCAUUAUUCUCCUUAAAUGAAUAACCGUAUUGCGAUAGACGUAAUCCAAUCAUGUCUAUGCUCAACGCAAACACCAAAUAACAAUUAUUUAGGUUUAACACCAAUCUCUUUGGUAGAGGGAGCGUGCGAUGCUUGAUCAUAUCAAGCAUGGAAAAACUUACAACACAUAUCGUCAGCUCACCUUUAGCUAGUCUCUGUUUAUUCCGUAGCCUUUUGUUUCGAGUUACUAACACUUAGCAACCGAACUGGUAUCUAAUACCCUGGUGCUACUAGGAGUACUAGCAAAGUACACAUUAACACAAUGUAUAUCCAAUAUACUUCUAUCGACCUUGCCAGCCUUCUUAUCUACCAAGUAUCUAGGGUAAUUCUGCUCUAGUAGUUGUUCCCCUUAUUACAGAAGCACUUAGUCUCGGGUUUGGGUUUUACCUUGGGUUUCUUCACUAGAGCAGCAGCUGAUUUGCCGUUUCAUGAAGUAUCCCUUCUUGCCCUUGCCCUUCUUGAAACUAGUGGUUCCACCAACCAUCAACAAUUGAUGCUCCUUCUUGAUUUCUACUUUCGCGGUGUCAAACAUCGCGAAUACCUCAAGGAUCAUCAUAUCUAUCCCUGAUAUGUUAUAGUUCAUCAUGAAGCUCUAACAGCUUGGUGGCAAUGACUUUGGAGAACCAUCACUAUCUCAUCUGGAAGAUCAACUCCCACUCGAUUCAAGCGAUUGUUGUACUCAGACAAUCUGAGCACAAGCUCAACGAUUGAGCUUUUCUCCCUUAGUUUGCAGGUUAAGAAAGUCAUCGGAGGUCUUAUACCUCUUGACAUGGGCACGAGCCUGAAAUCCCAAUUUCAGCCCUCAAAACAUCUCAUAUGUUUCGCGAUGUUUCAAAAACGUCUUUGGUGCCUCAACUCUAAACCGUUUAACUGAACUAUCACGUAGUUAUCAAAACGUGUAUGUCAGAUGUUCGCAACAACCACAGACAACGUUCGAGGUUCAGCACACUGAGCGGUGCAUUAAGGACAUAAGCCUUCUAUGAAGCAAUGAGGACAAUCCUCAGUUUACGGACCUAGUCCGCAUAAUUGCUACUAUCAACUUUCAACUAAUUUUUCUCUAGGAACAUAUCUAAACAGUAGAACUAUAGCGUGAGCUACGACAUAAUUUGCAAAAACCUUUUGACUAUGUUCAGGAUAAUUAAGUUCAUCUUAUGAACUCCCACUCAGAUAGACAUCCCUCUAGUCAUCUAAGUGAUUACAUGAUCCGAGUCAAACUAGGCCGUGUCCGAUCAUCACGUGAGACGGACUAGUCAUCAUCGGUGAACAUCUUCAUGUUGAUCGUAUCUUCUAUACGACUCAUGUUCGACCUUUCGGUCUUCGUGUUCCGAGGCCAUGUAUGUACAUGCUAGGCUCGUCAAGUUAACCCUAAGUGUUUCGCGUGUGUAAAUCUGUCUUACACCCGUUGUAUGUGAACGUUAGAAUCUAACACCCGAUCAUCACGUGGUGCUUCGAAACACGAACUGUCGCAACGGUGCACAGUUAGGGGAGAACACUUCUUGAAAUUGUUGUAAGGGAUCAUCUUAUUUACUACCGUCGUUCUAAGCAAAUAAGAUGUAUAAACAUGAUAAACAUCACAUGCAAUCAAAUAGUGACAUGAUAUGGCCAUCAUCACUUUGCUCCUUUUGAUCUCCAUCUUCGGGGCUCCAUGAUCAUCAUCGUCACCGGCAUGACACCAUGAUCUCCAUCAUCAUGAUCUCCAUCAUCGUGUCUUCAUGAAGUUGCCUCGCCAACUAUUACUUCUACUACUAUGGCUAACGGUUAGCAAUAAAGUAAAGUAAUUACAUGACGUUUAAGUUGACACGCAGGUCACAAAUGAAUAAAGACAACUCCUAUGGCUCCUGCCGGUUGUCAUACUCAUCGACAUGCAAGUCGUGAUUCCUAUUACAAGAACAUGAUCAAUCUCAUACAUCACAUAUAUCAUUCAUCACAUCCUUUUUGGCCAUAUCACAUCACAUAGCAUACCCUGCAAAAACAAGUUAGACGUCCUCUAAUUGUUGUUUGCAUGUUUUACGUGGCUGCUAUGGGUUUCUAGCAAGAACGUUUCUUACCUACGCAUGAACAACAACGUGAUAUGCCAAUUGCUAUUUACCCUUCAUAAGGACCCUUUUCAUCGAAUCCGAUCCGACUAAAGUGGGAGAGACAGACACCCGCCAGCCACCUUAUGCAACUAGUGCAUGUUUGUCGGUGGAACCGGUCUCACGUAAGCGUACGUGUAAGGUUGGUCCGGGCCGCUUCAUCCCACGAUGCCGCCGAAUCAAGAUAAGACUAGUAACGGCAAGCAUAUUGAACAAUAUCAACGCCCACAACUACUUUGUGUUCUACUCGUGCAAAGAAUCUACGCAAUAGACCUAGCUCAUGAUGCCACUGUUGGGGAACGUAGCAGAAAUUCAAAAUUUUCCUACGUGUCACCAAGAUCUAUCUAUGGAGAUACUAGCAACGAGGGAAGGAGAGUGCAUCUACAUACCCUUGUAGAUCGCUAAGCGGAAGCGUUCAAGUGAACGGGGUUGAUGGAGUCGUACUCGUCGUGAUUCAGAUCACCGAUGAUCCUAGUGCCGAACGGACGGCACCUCCGCGUUCAACACACGUACAGCUCGACGAUGUCUCCCACGCCUUGAUCCAGCAAGGAGAGAGGGAGAGGUUGAGGAAGACUCCAUCCAGCAGCAGCACAACGGCGUGGUGGUGAUGGAGGAGCGUGGCAAUCCUGCAGGGCUUCGCCAAGCACCUACGGGAGAGGAGGAGGUGUCACGGGAGGGAGGGAGGCGCCAAGGGCUCAGGUAUAGAUGCCCUCCCUCCCCUCCACUAUAUAUAGGGGCAAGGGAGAGGGGGAGGCGCAUCCUUGCCCCUUCCUCCAAGGAAGGGGUGCGGCUAAGAGGGGGGGAGGAGUCCAUCCUCCCCAAGGCACCUCGGAGGUGCCUUCCCCCUUUAGGACUCUCCCCUUUUUCCUAUAUCUUGGCGCAUGGGCCUCUAGGGGCUGGUGCCCUUGGCCCAUGUAGGCCAAGGCGCACCCCCCUACAGCCCAUGUGGCCCCCCGGGGCAGGUGGCCCCACCCGGUGGGCCCCCGGGACCCUUCCGGUGGUCCCGGUACAAUACCGAUGACCCCGAAACUUGUCCCGAUGGCCGAAACAGGACUUCCUAUAUAUAAAUCUUUACCUCCGGACCAUUCCGGAACUCCUCGUGACGUCCGGGAUCUCAUCCGGGACUCCGAACAACAUUCGGUAACCACAUACAAACUUCCUUUAUAACCCUAGCGUCAUCGAACCUUAAGUGUGUAGACCCUACGGGUUCGGGAGACAUGUAGUCAUGACCGAGAUGUUCUCCGGUCAAUAACCAACAGCGGGAUCUGGAUACCCAUGUUGGCUCGCACAUGUUCCACGAUGAUCUCAUCGGAUGAACCACGAUGUCAAGGACUCAAUCAAUCCCGUAUACAAUUCCCUUUGUCUAGCGGUAUGGUACUUGCCCGAGAUUCGAUCGUCGGUAUACCGAUACCUUGUUCAAUCUCGUUACCGGCAAGCCUCUUUACUCGUUCCGUAACACAUCAUCCCGUGAUCAACCCCUUGGUCACAUUGUGCACAUUAUGAUGAUGUCCUACCGAGUGGGCCCAGAGAUACCUCUCCGUUUACACGGAGUGACAAAAUCCCAAUCUCGAUUCGUGCCAACCCAACAGACACUUUCAGAGAUACCCGUAGUGUACCUUUAUAGCCACCCAGUUACGUUGUGACGUUUGGCACACCCAAAGCACUCCUACGGUAUCCGGGAGUUGCACAAUCUCAUGGUCUAAGGAAAUGAUACUUGACAUUAGAAAAGCUUUAGCAUACGAACUACAUGAUCUUGUGCUAGGCUUAGNNNNNNNNNNUGAUCAACCCCUUGGUCACAUUGUGCACAUUAUGAUGAUGUCCUACCGAGUGGGCCCAGAGAUACCUCUCCGUUUACACGGAGUGACAAAAUCCCAAUCUCGAUUCGUGCCAACCCAACAGACAUUUUCAGAGAUACCCGUAGUGUACCUUUAUAGCCACCCAGUUACGUUGUGACGUUUGGCACACCCAAAGCACUCCUACGGUAUCCGGGAGUUGCACAAUCUCAUGGUCUAAGGAAAUGAUACUUGACAUUAGAAAAGCUUUAGCAUACGAACUACAUGAUCUUGUGCUAGGCUUAGGAUUGGGUCUUGUCCAUCACAUCAUUCUCCUAAUGAUGUGAUCCCGUUAUCAACGACAUCCAAUGUCCAUGGUCAGGAAACCGUAACCAUCUAUUGAUUAACGAGCUAGUCAACUAGAGGCUUACUAGGGACAUGGUGUUGUCUAUGUAUCCACACAUGUAUCUGAGUUUCCUAUCAAUACAAUUCUAGCAUGGAUAAUAAACGAUUAUCAUGAACAAGGAAAUAUAAUAAUAAUCAAUUUAUUAUUGCCUCUAGGGCAUAUUUCCAACAAGAAACGGGGAACAAACUGAUGAAAGAAUGAUCAUACCGAGGGAAUUCACUCAGAACUAACAAGAAUGAUAACGUGCUUUGACUGGAGCGGUUUAAAAACUGCUGGAAGGCUCUAGGGGAAUAAAGAUGGAAUGCCUUCAAAUUUCUAGGUCCGUAUGAUUUGAAAUACUUGCACACAAACCGCGCGAAAGCGUUCCUGGAAAUCUCAGCCCAAAAAAGGACGUUUAGUAAUUCUAAAAGGGACUACAGAAUGAAAAACAAUAGUUUUGGCAGUUAAAGUUUGAGAUUCGAUGGUGCCGUAGAUCCGUUUGGUCAUCAGGUGUAACGAGCCACACCCAUGUCUAGCUAGAGUAGUGUGCUAGGCUCAGGCUAGAGAAGAAACGGGGAACAAACUGAUGAAAGAAUGAUCAUACCGAGGGAAUUCACUCAGAACUAACAAGAAUGAUAACGUGCUCCGACUGGAGCGGUUUAGGAACUGCUGGAAGGCUCUAGGGGAAGAAAGAAGGAAUGACUUCUAAUUUUUAGGUCCGUAUGAUUUGAAAUACGUGCACACAAACCGCGCGAAAGCGUUCCUGGAAAUCUCAGCCCAAAAAAGGACGUUUAGUAUUCUAAAAGGGACUACAGAAUGAAAAACAAUAGUUUUGGCAGUUAAAGUUUGAGAUUCGACGGUGCCGUAGAUCCGUUUGGUCAUCAGGUGUUACGAGCCACACCCAUGUCUAGCUAGAAUAGUGUGCNNNNNNNNNNNNNNNNNNNNNNNNNCGUAUGAUUUGAAAUACGUGCACACAAACCGCGCGAAAGCGUUCCUGGAAAUCUCAGCCCAAAAAAGGACGUUUAGUAUUCUAAAAGGGACUACAGAAUGAAAAACAAUAGUUUUGGCAGUUAAAGUUUGAGAUUCGACGGUGCUGUAGAUCCGUUUGGUCAUCAGGUGUUACGAGCCACACCCAUGUCUAGCUAGAAUAGUGUGCUAGGCUCAGGCUAGAGAAGAAAAGGGGAACAAACUAAUGAAAGAAUGAUCAAUACGAGGGAAUUCACUCAGAACUAACAAUAAUGAUAACGUGCUCCGACUGGAGCGGUUUAGGAACUGCUGGAAGGCUCUAGGCGAAUAAAGAUGGAAUGACUUCUAAUUUUUACGUCCGUAUGAUUUGAAAUACUUGCACACAAACCACGCAAAAGCGUUCCUGGAAAUCUCGGCCUAAAAAGGACGUUUAGUAAUUCUAAAAGGGACUACAGGAUGAAAAAUAAUAGUUUGGGCAGUUAAAAUUUGAGAUUCGACGGUGCCGUAGAUCCGUUUGGUCAUCAGGUGUUACGAGCCACACCCAUGUCUAGCUAGAAUAGUGUGUUAGGCUCAGGCUAGAGAAGAAACGAGGAACAAACUGAUGAAAGAAUGAUCAUACCAAGGGAAUUCACUCAGAACUAACAAGAAUGAUAACGUGCUCCGACUGGAGCAGUUUAGAAACUGCUGGAAGGCUCUAGGGGAAUAAAGAUGGAAUGACUUCUGAUUUUUAGGUCCGUAUGAUUUGAAAUACGUGCACACAAACCCCGCGAAAGCGUUCCUGGAAAUCUCAGCCCAAAAAAGGACGUUUAGUAAUUCUAAAAGGGACUACAACAUGAAAAACAAUAGUUUUGGCAGUUAAAGUUUGAGAUUUCAUGGUGCCGUAGAUCUGUUUGGUCAUCAGGUGUUACGAGCCACACCCAUGUCUAGCUAGAAUAGUGUGUUAGGCUCAGGCUAGAAAAGAAACGGGAAACAAAGUGAUGAAAGAAUGACCAUACCGAGGGAAUUCACUCAGAACUAACAAGAAUGAUAACAUGCUCCGACUUGAGCGGUUUAGGAACUGCUGGAAGGCUCUAGGGGAAUAAAGAUGGAAUGACUUCUAAUGUUUAGGUCCGUAUGAUUUGAAAUACUUGCACAUAAACCGCACAAAAGCGUUCCUGGAAAUCUCAGCCCAAAAAAGGACGUUUAGUAAUUCUAAAAGGGACUACAGGAUGAAAAACAAUAGUUUUGGCAGUUAAAGUUUGAGAUUCGACGGUGCCGUAGAUCCGUUUGGUCAUCAGGUGUUACGAGCCACACCCAUGUCUAGCUAGAAUAGUGUGUUAGGCUCAGGCUAGAGAAGAAACUUGGAACAAACUGAUGAAAGAAUGAUCAAACCAACGGAAUUCACUCAGAACUAACAAUAAUGAUAACGUGCUCCGACUGGAGCAGUUUAGGAACUGCUGGAAGGCUCUAGGGGAAUAAAGAUGGAAUGACUUCUAAUUUUUAGGUCCGUAUGAUUUGAAAUACUUGCACGCAAACCGCGCGAAAGCGUUCCUGGAAAUAUCAGCCCAAAAAAGGACGUUUAGUAAUUCUAAAAGGGACUACAGGAUGAAAACAAUAGUUUUGGCAGUUAAAGUUUGAGAUUCAACAGUGCCGUAGAUCCGUUUGGUCAUCAGGUGUUAUGAGCCAUACCCAUGUCUAGCUAGAGUAGUGUGCUAGGCUCAGGCUAGAGAAGAAACAGGGAACAAACUGAUGAAAGAAUGAUCAUACCGAGGGAAUUCACUCAGAACUAACAAGAAUGAUAACGUGCUCCGACUGGAGCGGUUUAGGAACUGCUGGAAGGCUCUAGGGGAAUAAAGAUGGAGUGACUUCUAAAUUUUUAGGUCCGUAUGAUUUAAAAUACUUGCACACAAACCGCACGAAAGCGUUCCUUGAAAUCUCAGCCCAAAAAAGGACGUUUAGUAAGUCUAAAAGGGACUAUAGGAUGAAAAACAAUAGUUUUGGCAGUUAAAGUUUGAGAUUCGAUGGUGCCGUAGAUCUGUUUGGUCAUCAGGUGUUACGAGCCACACCCAUGUCUAGUUGGAAUAGUGUGCUAGGCUCAGACUAGAGAAGAAACAGGGAACAAACUGAUGAAAGAAUGAUCAAACCGAGGAAAUUCACUCAGAACUAACAAUAAUGAUAACAUGCUCCGACUGGAGCGGUUUAGGAACUGCUGGAAGGCUCUAGGGGAAUAAAGAUGGAAUGACUUCUAAAUUUUUAGGUCCGUAUGAUUUGAAAUAGUUGCACACAAACUGCGCGAAAGCGUUCCUGGAAAUCUCAGCCCAAAAAAGGACGUUUAGUAAUUCUAAAAGGGACUAUAGGAUGAAAAACAAUAGUUUUGGCAGUUAAAGUUUGAGAUUCGACGGUGCCGUAGAUCCGUUUGGUCAUCACGUGUUACAAGCCACACCCAUGUCUAGCUAGAGUAGUGUGCUAGGCUCAGACUAUAGAAGAAACGGGGACCAAACUGAUGAAAGAAUGAUCAAACCGAGGAAAUUCACUCAGAACUAACAAUAAUGAUAACAUGCUCCGACUGGAGCGGUUUAGGAACUACUGGAAGGCUCUAGGGGAAUAAAGAUGGAAUGACUUCUAAAUUUUUAGGUCCGUAUGAUUUUAAAUAGUUGCACACAAACUGCGCGAAAGCGUUCCUGGAAAUCUCAGCCCAAAAAAGGACGUUUAGUAAUUCUAAAAGGGACUACAGGAUGAAAAACAAUAGUUUGGGCAGUUAAAAUUUGAGAUUCGACGGUGCCGUAGAUCCGUUUGGUCAUCAGGUGUUACGAGCCACACCCAUGUCUAGCUAGAGUAGUGUGCUAGGCUCAGGCUAGAGAAGAAACAGGGAACAAACUGAUGAAAGAAUGAUCAUACCGAGGGAAUUCACUCAGAACUAACAAGAAUGAUAACGUGCUCUGACUGGAGCGGUUUAAGAACUGUUGGAAGGCUCUAGGGGAAUAAAGAUGGAAUCACUUCAAAUUUUUACGUCCGUGUGAUUUGAAAUACUUGCACACAAACCGCACGAAAGCGUUCCUGGAAAUCUCAGCCCAAAAAAGGACGUUUAGUAAGUCUAAAAGGGACUACACGAUGAAAAACAAUAGUUUUGGCAGUUAAAGUUUGAGAUUCGACAGUGCCGUAGAUCCGUUUGGUCAUCAGGUGUAACGAGCCACACCCAUGUCUAGAUAGAGUAGUGUGCUAGGCUCAAACUAGAGAAGAAACGGGGAACAAACUGAUGAAAGAAUGAUCAUACCGAGGGAAUUCACUCAGAAAUAACAAGAAUGAUAACGUGCUCUGACUGGAGCGGUUUAGGAACUGCUGGAAGGCUCUAGGGGAAUAAAGAAGGAAUGACUUCUAAUUUUUAGGUCCGUAUGAUUUGAAAUACGUGCACACAAACCCCGAGAAAGCGUUCCUGGAAAUCUCGACCCAAAAAAGGACGUUUAGUAAUUCUAAAAGGGACUACGGGAUGAAAAACAAUAGUUUUGGCAGUUAAAGUUUGAGAUUCGAUAAUGCCGUAGAUCCAUUUGGUCAUCAGGUGUAACGAGCCACACCCAUGUCUAGCUAGAGUAGUGUGCUAGGCUCAGACUAGAGAAGAAACAGGGAACAAACUGAUGAAAGAAUGAUCAUAUCGAGGGAAUUCACUCAGAACUAACAAGAAUGAUAACAUGCUCCGACUUGAGCGGUUUAGGAACUGCUGGAAGGCUCUAGGGGAAUAAAGAUGGAAUGACUUCUAAUUUUUAGGUCCGUAUGAUUUGAAAUACUUACACACAAACCACGCGAAAGCGUUCCUGGAAAUCUCAGCCCAAAAAAGGACGUUUAGUAAUUCUAAAAGGGACUACAUGAUGAAAAACAAUAGUUUUCGCAGUUAAAGUUUGAGAUUCGACGGUGCCGUAGAUCCGUUUGGUCAUCAAGUGUUACGAGCCACACCCAUGUCUAGCUAGAAUAGUGUGUUAGGCUCAGCCUAGAGAAGAAACGGGGAACAAACUGAUGAAAGAAUGAUCAUACCGAGGGAAUUCACUCAGAACUUACAAGAAUGAUAACGUGCUCCGACUUGAGCGGUUUAAGAACUGUUGGAAGGCUCUAGGGGAAUAAAGAUGGAAUCACUUCAAAUUUUUACGUCCGUGUGAUUUGAAAUACUUGCACACAAACCCCGAGAAAGCGUUCCUGGAAAUCUCGGCCGAAAAAAGGAUGUUUAAUAAUUCUAAAAGGGACUACAGGAUGAAAAACAAUAGCUUUGGCAGUUAAAGUUUGUGAUUCGAUGGUGCCGUAGAUCUGUUUGGUCAUCAGGUGUUAUGAGCCACACCCAUGUCUAGCUAGAAUAGUGUGUUAGGCUCAGGCUAGAG